CCUACGGGAGGCAGCAGUUAGGAAUCUUCCGCAAUGGGCGCAAGCCUGACGGAGCGACGCCGCUUGGAGGAGGAAGCCCUUCGGGGUGUAAACUCCUGAACCCGGGACGAAACCCCCGAUGAGGGGACUGACGGUACCGGGGUAAUAGCGCCGGCCAACUCCGUGCCAGCAGCCGCGGUAAUACGGAGGGCGCGAGCGUUACCCGGAUUCACUGGGCGUAAAGGGCGUGUAGGCGGCCUGGGGCGUCCCAUGUGAAGGGCCACGGCUCAACCGUGGAGGAGCGUGGGAUACGCUCAGGCUAGACGGUGGGAGAGGGUGGUGGAAUUCCCGGAGUAGCGGUGAAAUGCGCAGAUACCGGGAGGAACGCCGAUGGUGAAGGCAGCCACCUGGUCCACCCGUGACGCUGAGGCGCGAAAGCGUGGGGAGCAAACCGGAUUAGAUACCCGGGUAGUCCACGCCCUAAACGAUGCGCGCUAGGUCUCUGGGUUGUCUGGGGGCCGAAGCUAACGCGUUAAGCGCGCCGCCUGGGGAGUACGGCCGCAAGGCUGAACUUAAAGGAAUUGACGG
Molecule: ribosomal RNA, 567 nt
Filed under: uncultured bacterium
Lineage: Bacteria
Description: bacterial SSU rRNA
Rfam family: Bacterial small subunit ribosomal RNA
Source: RNAcentral